Molecule: long non-coding RNA, 608 nt
Organism: Solanum tuberosum (potato)
Lineage: Eukaryota; Viridiplantae; Streptophyta; Magnoliopsida; Solanales; Solanaceae
Exons: 2
Source: RefSeq, a predicted model, not a curated record
UUCUCACUUCUCUCAUUCUUUAGCUCUCUAUAAAAGUAAAAUUUAGUGUUUUACUUUCAACAAGUUAGGUUAUAAUUUUUUUUUAAUUCCUCUUUGAAAUAUAUAUAUAUAUAUAUAUAUAGAUCCAAAUCUCUUGUGGGUUUUUAACUUGAUGUUUUAUGAUAGGUUUUAGGACAAGAUUAGGGUUUUUGUACAUGUUGACUUGAUAUAUUUUGUGUUAUUAUUAGUUGUUAUGGGAGUGGAGCUCCUUGAAGUCCAACAGAAGAUCUAACAGGCUUCUGAAGAAAUGUUGGAUUUGGAUUUGAAGUCUUUCAGCGCAGCUUUAUCGUUUGUCUAGAUUUGAGUUGUGGAAGAAAAUAUUUUAGAAACUGAAUUUUUACAGUUGUGUAAAUUGGGAAAUACUUGUUUGUUUUUACUUUGUGUACAUAUUAGUUUUUUUGAAUAAAAUAAAGUGAAAUCCUUAAUAUUUUAAUCUUUCAUUAGGUUUAGUCUAGGCUAUUGAUAGCUACUUUCUCGAUUCUUGAUCUUUGUGCAAAUUAAAGCUAUGUUGCAUUAAUUAAUAUUGGGACAGAUGUGUGGAAAAUGCAGUGUAGGUUCUUUAUUUUGAA